RNAcentral lists this ribosomal RNA (433 nucleotides) under Duttaphrynus melanostictus (Asian common toad). RNAcentral describes it as "partial 12S rRNA". Lineage: Eukaryota; Metazoa; Chordata; Amphibia; Anura; Bufonidae. The record is from RNAcentral.
GUUCUUUAAACACAAAGGUUUGGUCCUGACCUUGAAGUCAGUUGUUACUUAAUAUACACAUGCAAGUAUCCGCCCCCCUGUGAAAACGCCCUUUUAACCCUCAUAGGGACAAGGAGCUGGUAUCAGGCACGAAAAUCUGCCCAAGACACCUAGCUAUGCCACACCCACAAGGGACCUCAGCAGUGAUUAACAUUGAGCAUUAGCGAAAGCUUGACUCAGUUAAAGUAAACAGAGCCGGCUAAUCUGGUGCCAGCCGCCGCGGUUACACCACGUGGCUCAAAUUGACCCCCAUUCGGCGUAAAGCGUGAUUAAAGUUGAACAUUACUAGAGUUAAACUAAAACUAGGCCGUGACACGCUUGUUUAUAAGAGACACAAAAACGAAAGUUAUUCUACCAUAAUCUACUUGAACUCACGACAGCUACGAGACAAAGU